CACGUCAGAUUCUCAUUUUUUAUUCAACAGAAUUUGAUUCACAACUUCACCGGCGAUUUUGCCUUUUCCGGCGAUUCUCCAUUGUGCACAUUCCCGAAAAAGAUGUGGCGUAGAUCAGCUUCUUUCAUUCUCGACAAAAACCAAAACGACGUCUCUGGAAGUCACCAUCUUUCUCCUCUUUCAGUCGCCGAUUCAUCAUCUAUGGCUGAAACCCUACUACAACAGGAGCAGCAGCAGCAACAGCAACAG
This 249-nucleotide unclassified non-coding RNA is filed under the name Hevea brasiliensis (rubber tree). Lineage: Eukaryota; Viridiplantae; Streptophyta; Magnoliopsida; Malpighiales; Euphorbiaceae. The record is from RNAcentral.